GCUGGGUGUGGUGGCGUACACCUGUAAUCCCAGCUACUUGGGAGGCUGAGGCAGGAGAAUCGCUUGAACCCAGGAGGCGGAGGUUACAGUAAGCUGAGACAGCACCACUGCACUCUAGCCUGGGUGACAAAGCAAGACUCUGUCUCAA
RNAcentral lists this small RNA (148 nucleotides) under Pongo abelii (Sumatran orangutan). RNAcentral describes it as "Metazoan signal recognition particle RNA (ENSPPYG00000030637.1)". Lineage: Eukaryota; Metazoa; Chordata; Mammalia; Primates; Hominidae. The record is from Rfam by way of RNAcentral.